This 405-nucleotide ribosomal RNA is filed under the name uncultured bacterium. RNAcentral's name for it is "partial 16S ribosomal RNA". It matches the Rfam family "Bacterial small subunit ribosomal RNA", at positions 30 to 525 of the family's 1533-position model. The record is from RNAcentral.
AUUGAACGCUGGCGGCAGGCCUAACACAUGCAAGUCGAACGAGUGGCGGACAGGUGAGUAAUGCCUGGGAACCUGCCUGAUGGAGGGGGAUAACUACUGGAAACGGUAGCUAAUACCGCAUACCAUCGGUUGUGCACAGAGGGGAUUUGCUAGUAGGUGGGGUAACGGGACACCUAGGCGACGAUCCCUAGCUGGUCAGAGAGGAUGACCUGCCACACUGGAACUGAGAAACGGUCCAGACUCCUACGGGAGGCAGCAGUGGGGAAUAUUGCACCAUGGGCGACAGCCUGAUGCAGCCAUGCCGCGUGUAUGAAGGAGGCCUUCGAGUUGGAAAGUACUUUAAGCGGUGAGGCGUGACCUGCAGAAGAAGCACCGGCUAACGCCGUGCCAGCCGCCGCGGUAAUG